Molecule: microRNA precursor, 80 nt
Filed under: Aotus nancymaae (Ma's night monkey)
Lineage: Eukaryota; Metazoa; Chordata; Mammalia; Primates; Aotidae
Description: miRNA (ENSANAG00000003268.1)
Source: RNAcentral
CAAUGUGACAUAGCUUUACCAUUCAUGUUCACUGAAAGGUAGAUUUUAGAAAACAUGAAUAGUAAAGCGAUGUCACAUUG